GACAGAGGUGCCAAGCGUUAGGCGGAAUCACUGGGCUUAAAGCGUGUGUAGGCGGGUCGUUAAGUACCUUGUAAAAUCCCCCGGCUCAACCGGGGAACGGCUGGGUAUACUGGCGAUCUUGAGCGACCUAGGGGCAGUCGGAACAAGUGGUGGAGCGGUGAAAUGCGCAGAUAUCAGGAGGAACACCAAUGGCGAAGGCAGCUCGCUGGGACGUGACUGACGCUGAGACGCGAAAGCGUGGGGAGCAAACAGG
Molecule: ribosomal RNA, 253 nt
Filed under: uncultured bacterium
Lineage: Bacteria
Description: partial 16S ribosomal RNA
Rfam family: Bacterial small subunit ribosomal RNA
Source: RNAcentral